UGGGGAAUAUUGCACAAUGGGCGCAAGCCUGAUGCAGCCAUGCCGCGUGUAUGAAGAAGGCCUUCGGGUUGUAAAGUACUUUCAGCGGGGAGGAAGGGAGUAAAGUUAAUACCUUUGCUCAUUGACGUUACCCGCAGAAGAAGCACCGGCUAACUCCGUGCCAGCAGCCGCGGUAAUACGGAGGGUGCAAGCGUUAAUCGGAAUUACUGGGCGUAAAGCGCGCGCAGGCGGUUUGUUAAGUCAGAUGUGAAAUCCCCGGGCUCAACCUGGGAACUGCAUCUGAUACUGGCAAGCUUGAGUCUCGUAGAGGGGGGUAGAAUUCCAGGUGUAGCGGUGAAAUGCGUAGAGAUCUGGAGGAAUACCGGUGGCGAAGGCGGCCCCCUGGACGUAGACUGACGCUCAGGUGCGAAAGCGUGGGGAGCAAACAGG
Molecule: ribosomal RNA, 429 nt
Filed under: Chloroflexota bacterium
Lineage: Bacteria; Bacillati; Chloroflexota
Description: Chloroflexi bacterium partial 16S ribosomal RNA
Rfam family: Bacterial small subunit ribosomal RNA
Source: RNAcentral